CCUACGGGUGGCAGCAGUGGGGAAUAUUGGACAAUGGGCGAAAGCCUGAUCCAGCAAUGCCGCGUGAGUGAUGAAGGCCCUAGGGUUGUAAAGCUCUUUUACCCGGGAUGAUAAUGACAGUACCGGGAGAAUAAGCCCCGGCUAACUCCGUGCCAGCAGCCGCGGUAAUACGGAGGGGGCUAGCGUUGUUCGGAAUUACUGGGCGUAAAGCGCACGUAGGCGGCUUUGUAAGUUAGAGGUGAAAGCCCGGGGCUCAAACCCGGAAUAGCCUUUAAGACUGCAUCGCUUGAAUCCGGGAGAGGUGAGUGGAAUUCCGAGUGUAGAGGUGAAAUUCGUAGAUAUUCGGAAGAACACCAGUGGCGAAGGCGGCUCACUGGACCGGUAUUGACGCUGAGGUGCGAAAGCGUGGGGAGCAAACAGGAUUAGAUACCCCUGUAGUC
RNAcentral lists this ribosomal RNA (440 nucleotides) under uncultured bacterium. Its description in RNAcentral is "bacterial SSU rRNA". It matches the Rfam family "Bacterial small subunit ribosomal RNA", at positions 338 to 795 of the family's 1533-position model. The record is from RNAcentral.